AACCUUCNAACUCUGAAUGUUAGUGUCGUCUGANUACUAUAUAAUAGUUAAAACUUUCAACAACGGAUCUCUUGGUUCUGGCAUCGAUGAAGAACGCAGCGAAAUGCGAUAAGUAAUGUGAAUUGCAGAAUUCAGUGAAUCAUCGAAUCUUUGAACGCACAUUGCGCCCCUUGGUAUUCCGGGGGGCAUGCCUGUUCGAGCGUCAUUUCAACCCUCAAGCUUUGCUUGGUAUUGGGCCCUGCUGGCAACGGCAGGCCUUAAAAACAGUGGCGGUGCCUUUAGGUCCUGAGCGUAGUACAUUUCUCGCUAUAGGUCCCUGAAGGUUACUGGCCAGCAACCCCAAUUUUUCUAUGGUUGACCUCGGAUCAGGUAGGGAUACCCGCUGAACUUAAGCAUAUCAAUAAGCGGAGGAA
RNAcentral lists this ribosomal RNA (413 nucleotides) under uncultured Chlorencoelia. Its description in RNAcentral is "eukaryotic LSU rRNA". The stretch from base 52 to 205 matches the Rfam family "5.8S ribosomal RNA". The record is from RNAcentral. Lineage: Eukaryota; Fungi; Ascomycota; Leotiomycetes; Helotiales; Helotiaceae.